Molecule: ribosomal RNA, 253 nt
Filed under: uncultured bacterium
Lineage: Bacteria
Also listed under: 2 other names
Description: partial 16S ribosomal RNA
Rfam family: Bacterial small subunit ribosomal RNA
Source: RNAcentral
UACGAAGGGGGCUAGCGUUGCUCGGAAUUACUGGGCGUAAAGGGCGCGUAGGCGGACAUUUAAGUCAGGGGUGAAAUCCCAGAGCUCAACUCUGGAACUGCCUUUGAUACUGGGUGUCUUGAGUGUGAGAGAGGUAUGUGGAACUCCGAGUGUAGAGGUGAAAUUCGUAGAUAUUCGGAAGAACACCAGUGGCGAAGGCGACAUACUGGCUCAUUACUGACGCUGAGGCGCGAAAGCGUGGGGAGCAAACAGG